UUUGCACUUUCCUUUUCAUUUUCUUGUGCUGGAAUUUCAUUUUUAGUUUGUCAUUGAAAAAAAAUAGCCAUCACACUACACUUUGCAUUCUUGCUUGGAGCGUUUUCUUUAGGGAACUCUUGAAUGUAUGAAGGUGAUUCUCGGUCAUUCUUAUGAUGGAAGGAUGAGCACACUUUACUUUCUUUUCUUUACACCAAUGCUGUUUGACUUUGUUGAAUGAAAGAAACACAUCUUUUC
This 237-nucleotide long non-coding RNA is filed under the name Vigna radiata. RNAcentral describes it as "long non-coding RNA (VRAD_LNC013132)". The record is from RNAcentral. Lineage: Eukaryota; Viridiplantae; Streptophyta; Magnoliopsida; Fabales; Fabaceae.